CACAGACGGUCUUUACAAGCGACUCGUGGGCGUCAAUACUGGGCUGAGUUUGUGGCGCGCUUAGUGAUGGGAUGGCCCUGUGCAGGACGCCGACACGAAAAGAUGAAGAGUUCAAUCCGUGCUGUCUGAACUCACAGUGUAGCAGGCGAGAUAGACGGGAAGAUCGGUAGGGUGGGAGAUGCCGGAAAGGCUUCCCGUGAGACUGGAUAAGAAAUCAAAAAUCUGGUGAAAUUGCCGGCAAGAGGGAGUUAAGGACAUUCCAGGCAGAGGCAAGAUUCCUAAGAUGAGGACACAGCAUCCUGGGCCACUGUCACUAAUACAAAUUUGCCUCUGGAGGGACUCUACGGAAGAUAAUUCCCCUGAAAUUUGGAGAGUUGAAUUAAGCUAGGACUGAUUCUGGCUGGAAUUUGUGGUGGCUACGUACCCUAGAGGGCCUCAAGGAAACCCACGGUUCAAGACAGCCCUGACAGAUUCUGGAGUCUAGAACAGAAAUGGAUUUGAACAUGGGCAAGGCCAACCACCCAGUUCACGGCCUGUGUACAGCAAAGAUUACGUUACAGCCUGAGAGCUAAGCCUGGAAGCUCUUUCAUCCAUCCGUUUGUCCAUCUAUCCAUCCAUCUGCUCAUCCAUCCCUCCAUCUGCUCAACAAACGUUAGAGAAUCAAUCCUUGUGUCAGAUACUGGGGCUGCCCUCAAGGAGCUUUUAUAGAGUUCAGGGUACAGCCAGGUGGGGGAGACAGAUCACUAUAAAAACCUACCACUAUAAUCCAAAGGACAAGAGCAAAAAUAGUAAAGAGGAGAGAAGACCCAAAUUUGCCUGGUGGGUCAGAGAGGGCUUUCUAGAAGAGGUAAAAAAUCUUCGGGGCUAUCACUUCACCUUGCCUGGUGGAUAAAGGGAGGACUUUCCAGAUACAGUGGACAGAAUGUGCAGAGGCAGGAGCCAUGAGUGGCAGAGGCAGGGGAGGGACUGCAGAGACAGGUUGGAGCCAAAGCACGUGGCACUGGAGCCAUAGCCAAAGGAACAAACUGUGAGACCUGGGACUUGAAUUUGGAGGUGGUGAAAAGUGACAAGGUCUUCACAGAAGAGUGAUUUUUUCAACUUAGGGAAGGCUGACCCCAGACCAAUGCUGCCAAAGUGUGGUCUGUGGGCUGUUAGCAGUUCGUGACGAUGUAAGUACAGGAAUUGAGAUUAAGCAUUUAGAACACCUACAGCACUUUGAUAGUCAUUUUACUUUUUAAAUUUUGAGCUGGCAUUUUAUAUGCCUGGUUUUUUUUUGUUUUUGUUUUUUUAUUUUUUUUGAGACAGUCUCGCUCUGUCGCCCAGGCUGGAGUGCAGUGGCGCGAUCUCUGCUCACUGCAAGCUCCGCCUCCCGGGUUCACGCCAUUCUCCUGCCUCAUCCUCCCAAGUAGCUGGGACUGCAGGCGCCUGCCGCCUCGCCCAGCUAAUUUUUUGUAUUUUUAAUAGAGACGGGGUUUCACCAUGUUAGCCAGGAUGGUCUCAAUCUCCUGAUCUCGUGAUCUGCCCGCCUUGGCCUCCCAAAAUGCUGGGAUUACAGGUGUGAGCCACCACGCCCAGCCUUAUUCUCUUUUUCUAAUAGUUGCACUUUAUCAUAUUUUACAAAUGUGUGAGUCUGCUAUGGAUUAGAAAUUAAUAAGAGAUUUUGCCACAGAUAGUUUGAGAAGCCCAGCACUGCCACUCAACAAAUGCUGGUGCAUUCAGAUGGUGAAAUAUUCUGCAGCUAUUAAAGGAGUUAAAACUGCCUCCACUUACCUGGAGGCCCAUCUGUGACACCUUUUUAGGUUAAAAGGAAAAGAAAAACUUGCUUAGGACUGAAUAUGAGCGGUUGCAAUUUGUAACAAUGAUGUAUAUAUACAUAUACAUUUUCAUGUAUUUGUAUGAACAUAAAAGUAUUGAAGGAUAUUCAUCAAACUGCUAAAAGGGUUGCUUCAGAGUAACGGACUCGGAGAAGGCAGAUUAAUUUUCUCUUAAUGGAACUCUGUAUUGUAUCACUUGUAAAAAUAAGCAUGUGUUAUCUUUAUGAUAAAAAAGUAAAAACCUAAAAAAGAAAAUUUUGAUGUGUGUUAAAAUUUUGGAUUUCUAGGCUCCACCUUUUUUGAAUGAGUCUCUCCAAGAGUGGGG
RNAcentral lists this long non-coding RNA (2139 nucleotides) under Homo sapiens (human). RNAcentral's name for it is "PREDICTED lncRNA (TCONS_00218557)". Lineage: Eukaryota; Metazoa; Chordata; Mammalia; Primates; Hominidae. The record is from RNAcentral.